Molecule: ribosomal RNA, 445 nt
Filed under: uncultured bacterium
Lineage: Bacteria
Description: SSU rRNA
Rfam family: Bacterial small subunit ribosomal RNA
Source: RNAcentral
AGAGCGAACGCUGGCGGCAGGCUUAACACAUGCAAGUCGAGCGGAUGUAGCAAUACAUCAGCGGCAGACGGGUGAGUAACACGUGGGAACGUACCUUUUGGUUCGGAACAACACAGGGAAACUUGUGCUAAUACCGGAUAAGCCCUUACGGGGAAAGAUUUAUCGCCGAAAGAUCGGCCCGCGUCUGAUUAGCUAGUUGGUGAGGUAAUGGCUCACCAAGGCGACGAUCAGUAGCUGGUCUGAGAGGAUGAUCAGCCACAUUGGGACUGAGACACGGCCCAAACUCCUACGGGAGGCAGCAGUGGGGAAUAUUGGACAAUGGGCGCAAGCCUGAUCCAGCCAUGCCGCGUGAGUGAUGAAGCCCUAGGUUGUAAAGCUCUUUUGUGCGGGAAGAUAAUGACGGUACCGCAAGAAUAAGCCCGGCUAACUUCGUGCCAGCAGCCGC